RNAcentral lists this ribosomal RNA (301 nucleotides) under uncultured bacterium. Its description in RNAcentral is "partial 16S ribosomal RNA". It matches the Rfam family "Bacterial small subunit ribosomal RNA", at positions 509 to 809 of the family's 1533-position model. The record is from RNAcentral.
CAGUCGCCACGGUAAUACGAAGGGGGCUAGCGUUGUUCGGAAUCACUGGGCGUAAAGCGCACGUAGGCGGACACUUAAGUCAGAGGUGAAAUCCCAAGGCUCAACCUUGGAACUGCCUUUGAUACUGGGUGUCUUGAGGUCGAGAGAGGUGAGUGGAACUGCGAGUGUAGAGGUGAAAUUCGUAGAUAUUCGCAAGAACACCAGUGGCGAAGGCGGCUCACUGGCUCGAUUCUGACGCUGAGGUGCGAAAGCGUGGGGAGCAAACAGGAUUAGAUACCCGUGUAGUCCCUGUCUCUUAUAA